GAUGAACGCUGGCGGCGUGCCUAAUACAUGCAAGUCGAGCGAACAGACGAGGAGCUUGCUCCUCUGACGUUAGCGGCGGACGGGUGAGUAACACGUGGAUAACCUACCUAUAAGACUGGGAUAACUUCGGGAAACCGGAGCUAAUACCGGAUAAUAUAUUGAACCGCAUGGUUCAAUAGUGAAAGACGGUUUUGCUGUCACUUAUAGAUGGAUCCGCGCCGCAUUAGCUAGUUGGUAAGGUAACGGCUUACCAAGGCAACGAUGCGUAGCCGACCUAAGAGGGUGAUCGGCCACACUGGAACUGAGACACGGUCCAGACUCCUACGGGAGGCAGCAGUAGGGAAUCUUCCGCAAUGGGCGAAAGCGUGACGGAGCAACGCCGCGUGAGUGAUGAAGGUCUUCAGAUCGUAAAACUCUGUUAUUAGGGAAGAACAAAUGUGUAAGUAACUAUGCACGUCUUGACGGUACCUAAUCAGAAAGCCACGGCUAACUACGUG
This 497-nucleotide ribosomal RNA is filed under the name uncultured bacterium. RNAcentral's name for it is "partial 16S ribosomal RNA". It matches the Rfam family "Bacterial small subunit ribosomal RNA", at positions 28 to 507 of the family's 1533-position model. The record is from RNAcentral.